This is a long non-coding RNA of Bombus terrestris (buff-tailed bumblebee), 995 nucleotides long. RefSeq lists it as uncharacterized. The transcript is spliced from 2 exons. The record is from RefSeq and is a predicted model, not a curated record. Lineage: Eukaryota; Metazoa; Arthropoda; Insecta; Hymenoptera; Apidae.
GUAAGGAUCUUUCGUUUAUUUUAGUCGCUCUAUCUCCGCUAGUUUGCAGACUAAGAAAAACCGAGUUUAAAGUUGACGAACUUCUAUACGAUCGUGCGAAGUUAAGAUUUGAAAGAACCACAUAUUCGUUGCUCUCCAGAUGGAGUUAGAACAAUUAUUAAUUAGGCGAAAAUUAACAGUUAAAAUUACGGACGAAUCGAGUCGCUAUGGUUUUCAUUCCUUGUUCGUCAGGAGCCUCGCUAAGGAAGCACGUCUUCGUCGGUGAAGCUUAUAGCAUGGUCGCGAAGAAGCUUAUUUUUCAAUUGGAAUCAUAAAUUAUUAAGCAAUAACAUAGAAAUUUGCUUCAUCCCACGCUCAAUCGCCAAGGACGUGUCGUAAACUCGGUAUCUCCGCAGGGUAAUUUGGAAUUAUAUUACAGCGGUACAAGUUGCCGAACUUCCUCACCCGCAGAGAUAUCGUGAUCUUCUCGGAAAACUAACAUCUCGUGUUAGUUCAAGUAGCGACCCAUCUUUGCCAGUAGAAGGCGCGCCAAGAGCACGUGAAAGGCUGGUCAUGACACUCGCGGCAUUCACACCUCGAACACAGAAAAAGAUACUUGUUAACGUUCAAGCGGUUCAGAUAUUGAUCAACUUUCGCGCGACACAAACGUUGUUCAAACUUGGAACGCUACAGGCAUUUUUCAACUCUGUUACGAGCAAACUUAUACAUAUUCAUUGAAGACAUACGAAAGAAUACGCGCUGUAUUCGUUAUCAUGCGUUUUUUUUAUUAGAGUUCAGACUUUUAUGGAUCGUCAUUAUUGGAACAGCAAGCGUUCAGUUCUGUUCUUCCCUACGUGCUCAUAAUCUUGGCUGAUAACCGCCAUUCGCUAUAUACAUCGUUGGUAUCGACGUCAAAGGAUUAAUACAGACAAAUACGUCCGUACAAUCCGAUUUGAUUGAUUUUAGAUUUUGCAUCAAACAGAUCUCUAUAUAAACAGAUAAUUUCUGAUUCUAAA